RNAcentral lists this ribosomal RNA (468 nucleotides) under uncultured bacterium. RNAcentral describes it as "partial 16S ribosomal RNA". It matches the Rfam family "Bacterial small subunit ribosomal RNA", at positions 28 to 507 of the family's 1533-position model. The record is from RNAcentral.
GACGAACGCUGGCGGCGUGCUUAACACAUGCAAGUCGAACGGAAAGGCCCUGCUUUUGUGGGGUGCUCGAGUGGCGAACGGGUGAGUAACACGUGAGUAACCUGCCCUUGACUUUGGGAUAACUUCAGGAAACUGGGGCUAAUACCGGAUAGGAGCUCCUGCUGCAUGGUGGGGGUUGGAAAGUUUCGGCGGUUGGGGAUGGACUCGCGGCUUAUCAGCUUGUUGGUGGGGUAGUGGCUUACCAAGGCUUUGACGGGUAGCCGGCCUGAGAGGGUGACCGGCCACAUUGGGACUGAGAUACGGCCCAGACUCCUACGGGAGGCAGCAGUGGGGAAUAUUGCACAAUGGGCGGAAGCCUGAUGCAGCAACGCCGCGUGCGGGAUGACGGCCUUCGGGUUGUAAACCGCUUUCGCCUGUGACGAAGCGUGAGUGACGGUACUGGGUAAAGAAGCCCCGGCUAACUACGUG